RNAcentral lists this ribosomal RNA (468 nucleotides) under uncultured bacterium. Its description in RNAcentral is "partial 16S ribosomal RNA". It matches the Rfam family "Bacterial small subunit ribosomal RNA", at positions 28 to 507 of the family's 1533-position model. The record is from RNAcentral.
GACGAACGCUGGCGGCGUGCUUAACACAUGCAAGUCGAACGGAAAGGCCCUGCUUUUGUGGGGUGCUCGAGUGGCGAACGGGUGAGUAACACGUGAGUAACCUGCCCUUGACUUUGGGAUAACUUCAGGAAACUGGGGCUAAUACCGGAUAGGAGCUCCUGCUGCAUGGUGGGGGUUGGAAAGUUUCGGCGGUUGGGGAUGGACUCGCGGCUUAUCAGCUUGUUGGUGGGGUAGUGGCUUACCAAGGCUUUGACGGGUACCCUGCAUGAGAGGGUGACCGGCCACAUUGGGACUGAGAUACGGCCCAGACUGCUACGGGAGGCAGCAGUGGGGAAUAUUGCACAAUGGGCGGAAGACUGAUGCAGCAACGCCGCGUGCGGGAUGACGGCCUUCGGGUUGUAAACCGCUUUCGACUGUGACGAAGCGUGAGUGACGGUAAUGGGUAAAGAAGCACCGGCUAACUACGUG